RNAcentral lists this ribosomal RNA (468 nucleotides) under uncultured bacterium. Its description in RNAcentral is "partial 16S ribosomal RNA". It matches the Rfam family "Bacterial small subunit ribosomal RNA", at positions 28 to 507 of the family's 1533-position model. The record is from RNAcentral.
GACGAACGCUGGCGGCGUGCUUAACACAUGCAAGUCGAACGGAAAGGCCCUGCUUUUGUGGGGUGCUCGAGUGGCGAACGGGUGAGUAACACGUGAGUAACCUGCCCUUGACUUUGGGAUAACUUCAGGAAACUGGGGCUAAUACCGGAUAGGAGCUCCUACUGCAUGGUGGGGGUUGGAAAGUGUCGGCGGUUGGGGAUGGACUCGCGGCUUAUCAGCUUGUUGGUGGGGUAGUGGCUUACCAAGGCUUUGACGGGUAGCCGGCCUGAGAGGGUGACCGGCCACAUGGGGACUAAGGUACGGCGCAGUCGCCUACCGGAGGCAGCAGUGGGGAAUAUUGCACAAUGGGCGGAAGCCUGAUGCAGAAACGCCGCGUGCGGGAUGACGGCCUUCGGGUUGUAAACCGCUUUCGCCUGUGACGAAGCGUGAGUGACGGUAAUGGGUAAAGAAGCACCGGCUAACUACGUG